CUACGUCGUCACGAAGUGGACCCCAAAAUGGCUGACAUACUCUGCGUCAUUUUUGGCAAUAAGCAAAGCUAAUGCUAUUCUUACCCUGUCUUUCAGGCCGUCGCCGAGGUGUCCAACGCUCCUCGUCACUGUAAAGCUGGCCUGUUUGAGCGAGGGACCAAGAUGCACCAAGUCGGCAUUUUGAACUUGACGCGCUGCAGGUUUUUCUAAUGCGCACUCAUGUCCACGAGGCGGCGCCAGAGCACUUCUGGCCAAGUACUUGAUGCUGAAGUCUUCUACGAACAAGGGUUUGAAAAGAACAUUUUUGUGUGCAGGGCUGGCUCCCGGGACGACCGCGCCACAAAGAUCAUUCUGCACCUGCUGGGUUCGUCGGACAAAAAAAGCAGAAGGUCUUCAAUGUUGAUGUGCUAAUAAAGCCACGGAUUAGCUACAAUUUUUUUUCUCUCCUCAGGUGUGACUUCAAAAAGCAGAUGGACAUGGACUGAGAACGUGCCCUCGUGAGACUUCCAGGGACUUGACCCACUUCCGGCCAGAGGCUCCUCAAGCACCUUUUCAAGUUCAACCUCAUCCGUUGCCGUCAGGUUUCCACACUGACGUGAAUCUCCAAAUAUUGGAGGAGCUCAGUCCACUUGGAUGUUCUUUUGGUCGUUGCAGGUGGUCGUCACGAUGGUGCAAUCUGUCCUACGAAGUGACUUGCGACCUCAGGAGAAGGGAACCAUAUCCUGCCUGUUUUUGAACCAUUCCUACUCAACACACCUGAUUGUUUCAAGCCUCGACAGGGCUUGGUGAUAAUUUGAAUCGGGUGUGUUGCAGUAGGGAGGCAUCGAAAAACGGGCAAGAUGCAAAACCUGUUUUGUUUUCAGGUCCAGGACAGCACAAAGUACCUGAAAACAAGCGCGCCAGUCUGAGCGUCGUGUCAACGAGUGGCUGUGAAUUCCUGACACCUCAGUCCCAGGAAAAGUCACUCGUCACACAUUUGCUGCACAACAAGUUGAGGUAACUAUUUUUUUUUAAAUCCAGGUACACUUGCAUCCCAACGGCCAACCAACAACUUCACCAUGCGGCACGACUUGUCAAGCUGUCCAAUUUGUCACUUGUUUGCAACUUGAGAUUUAUUCUACAAAUAAAAA
Molecule: long non-coding RNA, 1130 nt
Organism: Hippocampus zosterae (dwarf seahorse)
Lineage: Eukaryota; Metazoa; Chordata; Actinopteri; Syngnathiformes; Syngnathidae
Exons: 4
Source: RefSeq, a predicted model, not a curated record